Molecule: ribosomal RNA, 485 nt
Filed under: uncultured bacterium
Lineage: Bacteria
Description: bacterial SSU rRNA
Rfam family: Bacterial small subunit ribosomal RNA
Source: RNAcentral
AUUGAACGCUGGCGGCAUGCCUUACACAUGCAAGUCGAACGGCAGCACGGGAGCAAUCCUGGUGGCGAGUGGCGAACGGGUGAGUAAUAUAUCGGAACGUGCCCAGUCGUGGGGAUAACGUAGCGAAAGCUACGCUAAUACCGCAUACGAUCUAUGGAUGAAAGCGGGGGAUCGCAAGACCUCGCGCGAUUGGAGCGGCCGAUAUCAGAUUAGGUAGUUGGUGGGGUAAAGGCUCACCAAGCCAACGAUCUGUAGCUGGUCUGAGAGGACGACCAGCCACACUGGAACUGAGACACGGUCCAGACUCCUACGGGAGGCAGCAGUGGGGAAUUUUGGACAAUGGACGCAAGUCUGAUCCAGCCAUUCCGCGUGCAGGAUGAAGGCCCUCGGGUUGUAAACUGCUUUUGUACGGAACGAAAGGUUUCUAUUAAUACUAGGAGCUCAUGACGGUACCGUAAGAAUAAGCACCGGCUAACUACGUGCCA